AAGGAAUAUUGGUCAAUGGACGCAAGUCUGAACCAGCCAUGCCGCGUGAAGGAUUAAGGCCCUCUGGGUUGUAAACUUCUUUUAUAGGGGAAGAAAUGUGACGGUUCUCCGUCACUUGACGGUACCCUGGGAAUAAGCACCGGCUAACUCCGUGCCAGCAGCCGCGGUAAUACGGAGGGUGCAAGCGUUAUCCGGAUUCACUGGGUUUAAAGGGUGCGUAGGUGGGCAGAUAAGUCAGUGGUGAAAUCUUCCGGCUUAACCGGGAAACUGCCGUUGAGACUAUUUGUCUUGAAUAUUGCGGAGGUAAGCGGAAUAUGUCAUGUAGCGGUGAAAUGCUUAGAUAGGACAUAGAACACCAAUUGCGAAGGCAGCUUACUACACAAUCAUUGACACUGAGGCACGAA
This 404-nucleotide ribosomal RNA is filed under the name uncultured bacterium. RNAcentral describes it as "bacterial SSU rRNA". It matches the Rfam family "Bacterial small subunit ribosomal RNA", at positions 356 to 757 of the family's 1533-position model. The record is from RNAcentral.